UACGUAGGGUCCGAGCGUUGUCCGGAAUUAUUGGGCGUAAAGGGCUCGUAGGCGGUUUGUCACGUCGGGAGUGAAAACUCAGGGCUCAACCCUGAGCGUGCUUCCGAUACGGGCAGACUAGAGGUAUGCAGGGGAGAACGGAAUUCCUGGUGUAGCGGUGGAAUGCGCAGAUAUCAGGAGGAACACCGGUGGCGAAGGCGGUUCUCUGGGCAUUACCUGACGCUGAGGAGCGAAAGCAUGGGGAGCGAACAGG
Molecule: ribosomal RNA, 253 nt
Filed under: uncultured bacterium
Lineage: Bacteria
Also listed under: 2 other names
Description: partial 16S ribosomal RNA
Rfam family: Bacterial small subunit ribosomal RNA
Source: RNAcentral